Molecule: ribosomal RNA, 453 nt
Filed under: uncultured bacterium
Lineage: Bacteria
Description: bacterial SSU rRNA
Rfam family: Bacterial small subunit ribosomal RNA
Source: RNAcentral
UACGGAAGGCAGCAGUGGGGAAUAUUGCACAAUGGGCGAAAGCCUGAUGCAGCUAUGCCGCGUGUAUGAAGAAGGCCUUAGGGUUGUAAAGUACUUUCAUCGGGGAGGAAAAAACAAAACUAAUAAUUUUAUUUCUUGACGUUACCCGAAAAAGAAGCACCGGCUAACUCCGUGCCAGCAGCCGCGGUAAUACGGAGGGUGCUAGCGUUAAUCAGAAUUACUGGGCGUAAAGAGCACGUAGGUGGUUUUUUAAGUCAGAUGUGAAAUCCCUGGGCUUAACCUGGAACUGCAUUUUGAAACUGAAAUACUAGAGUAUCGUAGAGGGAGGUAGAAUUCUAGGUGUAGCGGUGAAAUGCGUAGAUAUCUGGAGGAAUACCUGUGGCGAAAGCGGCCUCCUAAACGAAUACUGACACUGAGGUGCGAAAGCGUGGGGGCAAACAGGGAUUAGAUACC